This 497-nucleotide ribosomal RNA is filed under the name uncultured bacterium. RNAcentral describes it as "bacterial SSU rRNA". It matches the Rfam family "Bacterial small subunit ribosomal RNA", at positions 28 to 526 of the family's 1533-position model. The record is from RNAcentral.
GAUGAACGCUGGCGGCGUGCCUAACACAUGCAAGUCGAGCGAGAAAUUGCUUAAUGAACCUUCGGGUGAUUUAAGCAAUGGACAGCGGCGGACGGGUGAGUAACGCGUGGGCAACCUGCCCUAUACAGGGGGAUAACAACGUGAAAACGUUGCUAAUACCGCAUAAGCGCACAGUAUUGCAUGAUACAGUGUGAAAAACUCCGGUAGUAUAGGAUGGGCCCGCGUCUGAUUAGCUAGUUGGUAGGGUAGAAGCCUACCAAGGCAACGAUCAGUAGCCGACCUGAGAGGGUGAUCGGCCACAUUGGGACUGAGACACGGCCCAAACUCCUACGGGAGGCAGCAGUGGGGAAUAUUGCACAAUGGGGGAAACCCUGAUGCAGCAACGCCGCGUGAAGGAAGACUGUUUUCGGAUUGUAAACUUCUAUCAGCAGGGAAGAAAAUGACGGUACCUGACUAAGAAGCCCCGGCUAACUACGUGCCAGCCGCCGCCGUAACAC